Papaver somniferum (opium poppy) is the source of this 2371-nucleotide long non-coding RNA. RefSeq lists it as uncharacterized. NCBI's taxonomy places the organism in Eukaryota, Viridiplantae, Streptophyta, Magnoliopsida, Ranunculales, Papaveraceae. The record is from RefSeq and is a predicted model, not a curated record. The transcript is spliced from 8 exons.
AAGUGCUUCGCUUGAUUUCACCCUUAGGUUUGAUUUUCGAUUCUGGGUUUCAUUGAAUCUGAUCUUGUGUGAAACCCAUUUUCUCAGUACUAGGGUUUUUGAUUUGAGAGAUCGUGAAGAGGAAUAACGCUUUCCUCAUCGAAGAGUUUGGAAAUGAAAAUCAGAUGCUUCAAACACUCUGGGUUAGCAAAUACAAAGACAGUUUCAGUUCAAGAUGGAAAAGAUUCGGGUAUUGUUCUUGCAACUACUAAUUUUGGUGCAGAUAUCAUAGUUUCUUGCUAGAAUUCGUUCUGUAUGAUGUAUUAAAGUUUUAAUAUUACUUUCAAGUUUUCAUUAGGUGGGUUCAGUUUCUAGGUAUAAUUGAAUGUUUCUCCAAGGAGAAAUAAGGGUUUUUAGUUUUAAGUCAGAUCUUUGCUUGUAUCUUUUUUUGUGUUCAAGGUCACUGUUAGGUUUUUGUUUGUUUCCCUUGUGAGAAGUUUAGUUUCAAGUCUCUUUUGAGUUUUUUCAUCGAGGCAAAGCUCUUUUACAGGUCACUAUUAGGUUUUGUUGCAUCUCAUUGUUCACAGGCAUAUGGGUGAGAGCUGAUGAUGUUGUGGUCAAAGUUUGAGGCGACGACUCUCACGAGAGAUGCUGGUGUCAGGUCCGGUCGUGGUUGCCGAUGGAAGGGCAGGGUUUGCUACGAACCCGUUUCACGAACCCACAAGGUACUUUGGGGUAGUUGAUUUUACCUUUAUAAAGAAAUUGAUGUUAUUGCAGCCUUUUCCUGUGGAGUUAGAACCUGGAAUUUUGGGAAAUAUUUUUGACAAAUUGGAAGCAUAAUACAACUUAACGAUAGAAGGAGCAUAAAGAAGAAGAGUCUGUCGAAGAUGAGGCGCCUGUGAUAACAAUAUGGGAAGCAAUUGGAUGGCUAGGUGUGUUAACUCUUUGGAUUUCCGUUCUUUCUGGAUACCUGGUCAAUGUGAUAGAGGUAUCAUAUACGACCCUGUACCGGGCCUCUAUUAUCAUGCGCCUCAUUUAGUACUGGUACGUGUAUGGCUGUUAUAAACAUACUCAAUCCUAUUAAGCUGAUUUAAAUGUUUCCAUUGUUUUAACAGCAACAACAUGACCUUUUAUAUAAUUAAAACUAUAAAAUACACUCAAUUAGGUAGCGCAUUUCCUUAACUCACUCGAAUGCAGCCUAAUGCUACCCUAUUAAGUCUUAAUUCCAUUUGGUUGCACAUUGGAAUCAGCAAAAAACUUACAGAUGUCCUGCAGCAAAAAUUUCACUGAUGCAAGUAUGCAACUCUUUCUAUCUCAUGUUGCUUGUGGCAUUGUGGACAUAGUUGAAGGAGAUGCUGAUAAUCAGUCAAAUGUCCUGCAGUACAUCAAAGAAUUGUAAAAAAAAAGAGUAAGUAUCAUAGUUAAAGGACUGGAGUCCUCUAUAACUUGUGUGAAUGGGUGAUUUGUUGUUUGCUGCAGAUAUUGAGCGGCUUCUCUGAAAGGCGUGUGACGUCUAGCACAUUGAUCUUGUUGUUUCCUCUAGUGGAAAUCCUCGCAACUGACAACUUAAAUUUCAACCUCGGGGAACGCCUCAUGCAGCAAGAAUACAAGAACUUGCGAAAUACAAAGGAUCUGAGUGGUUUGUUGCUUAUAUACUAUUCACUUGGAGAUGCUGAAGGAAUACAAGCACUUGCAUCUCUUGCCAAAGAACAGCAACCGGAUUCCUGAAACUGCUUUGAUUGCGGCGGUCUUAUCUUCCAAACAAGGUCUCAGAGAUACUAGCACUUUGGAGUAACGACCUCAACAAGGUCGCAAAUAUGAGCAAUACGUCCCACUACUUACAAGGAUGGUUAUGAAGCAACAAGAAGCUAUACUUGUUUGAGCAUGAAUUGGAAAAGGAACAUACUGCGGAAGGUGUACAAGCAGCUGAAAGCUUUGUGGUCCUUGAAGGCUACAACUAGUUGGGAGGGAAUCUUAGAUUGAUAAAUUAUGGAUGAUUCCUUUGUAUAGUUGGGAGUUAGGAGGGAAUCUCAGCUGGAAACUGGACUAUGACACUCCCUCCCUGCUCACCCAUUUCAACUGUUGCGACCGAAAAUUCGCAAUUGCUUCCGAGUCGUUGCGAAAUUUUGCAAUAAUGACUUUCAUACAGAUUGAAACUAUUGCAACCGUGCUUUGCAACUGAACUCUGCCGUUACAAAUCGCUAAAAAUGGUGUAGUGAAUCUAAUUGAGUAUUUUUGGAUUCGAAUUCAUAUUCGUAUGUAAUUUGUGUCCAUAGAAAUUCAUCUUUUCUUAUGAAAUUAAGGUCGCUCUUGUUGUUCUUUCGGGAAUGACAGUUUAUGGGGGAGAGUUCUUAAUUGAACUUGUGCUUUAUUACCAAAUCUUUGUGGGGAG